Molecule: ribosomal RNA, 449 nt
Filed under: uncultured bacterium
Lineage: Bacteria
Description: partial 16S ribosomal RNA
Rfam family: Bacterial small subunit ribosomal RNA
Source: RNAcentral
AACGAACGCUGGCGGCAUGCCUAACACAUGCAAGUCGAACGAGAUCUUCGGGUCUAGUGGCGCACGGGUGCGUAACGCGUGGGAAUCUGCCCUAUGGUUCGGAAUAACAGUUGGAAACGACUGCUAAUACCGGAUGAUGACGAAAGUCCAAAGAUUUAUCGCCAGAGGAUGAGCCCGCGUAGGAUUAGCUAGUUGGUGUGGUAAAGGCGCACCAAGGCGACGAUCCUUAGCUGGUCUGAGAGGAUGAUCAGCCACACUGGGACUGAGACACGGCCCAGACUCCUACGGGAGGCAGCAGUGGGGAAUAUUGGACAAUGGGCGAAAGCCUGAUCCAGCAAUGCCGCGUGAGUGAUGAAGGCCUUAGGGUUGUAAAGCUCUUUUACCCGGGAUGAUAAUGACAGUACCGGGAGAAUAAGCUCCGGCUAACUCCGUGCCAGCAGCCGCAGUAA